CAAAGGGUAAAAGGGUCCAUUACAGACCGAAAAGCUCUCGCGCGUGUCCACAUGACACAACCUUUAUUUACAAGCCUAAAGAGGCCACCAACCCAACUAAAAUGGGACUUAUAAGCCUUCGGCUGCCCCUCUACACACUGUACAAGGCAUGAACAUGCCAACAGACACGGACAUACAUAAGCAUUACAUCAAACACCCUGUUUCAAAGUUUGUCCGUGACAA
RNAcentral lists this long non-coding RNA (222 nucleotides) under Musa acuminata (dwarf banana). Its description in RNAcentral is "long non-coding RNA (MACU_LNC006540)". Lineage: Eukaryota; Viridiplantae; Streptophyta; Magnoliopsida; Zingiberales; Musaceae. The record is from RNAcentral.